RNAcentral lists this signal recognition particle RNA (268 nucleotides) under Candidatus Aminicenantota bacterium. RNAcentral's name for it is "Candidatus Aminicenantes bacterium signal recognition particle sRNA large type". It matches the Rfam family "Bacterial large signal recognition particle RNA". From Rfam's summary of the family: The signal recognition particle (SRP) is a universally conserved ribonucleoprotein involved in the co-translational targeting of proteins to membranes. Archaeal SRP consists of a 7S RNA and homologues of the eukaryotic SRP19 and SRP54 proteins. In most bacteria, the SRP consists of a 4.5S RNA and the Ffh protein (a homologue of the eukaryotic SRP54 protein). The record is from RNAcentral. Lineage: Bacteria; Candidatus Aminicenantota.
CCGUGCUAGAUGGGGAGCUAGCGGUGCCCUGUGACCCACAAUCCGCUACAGUGGGAUUGAAUUCCCUGCCGAGGCUGUGCUUCGUUUGGACAGUGUUCAUGUAAGUGGUGUUGAUGGUAUGGGCCCUGCGCGAAGAGCUCUCUGUAAACCCCGUCAGGACCGGGAGGUAGCAGCGGUAGCAGAGCGGUCUCUUGUGCGGCAGAUCAGCCUUUCCUGAGCUAACUGCAUGGAUAACGCAGGGGGAGUUCCGUCGGAGCUGGGUGCACGG